RNAcentral lists this microRNA (22 nucleotides) under Polistes canadensis. RNAcentral's name for it is "pca-miR-9-3p". Its record names the gene pca-miR-9-3p. Lineage: Eukaryota; Metazoa; Arthropoda; Insecta; Hymenoptera; Vespidae. The record is from miRBase by way of RNAcentral.
AUAAAGCUAGAUUACCGGAGUU